RNAcentral lists this ribosomal RNA (497 nucleotides) under uncultured bacterium. Its description in RNAcentral is "partial 16S ribosomal RNA". It matches the Rfam family "Bacterial small subunit ribosomal RNA", at positions 28 to 507 of the family's 1533-position model. The record is from RNAcentral.
GAUGAACGCUGGCGGCGUGCCUAAUACAUGCAAGUCGAGCGAACAGACGAGAAGCUUGCUUCUCUGAUGUUAGCGGCGGACGGGUGAGUAACACGUGGAUAACCUACCUAUAAGACUGGGAUAACUUCGGGAAACCGGAGCUAAUACCGGAUAAUAUUUUGAACCGCAUGGUUCAAUAGUGAAAGACGGUCUUGCUGUCACUUAUAGAUGGAUCCGCGCUGCAUUAGCUAGUUGGUAAGGUAACGGCUUACCAAGGCAACGAUGCAUAGCCGACCUGAGAGGGUGAUCGGCCACACUGGAACUGAGACACGGUCCAGACUCCUACGGGAGGCAGCAGUAGGGAAUCUUCCGCAAUGGGCGAAAGCCUGACGGAGCAACGCCGCGUGAGUGAUGAAGGUCUUCGGAUCGUAAAACUCUGUUAUUAGGGAAGAACAUAUGUGUAAGUAACUGUGCACAUCUUGACGGUACCUAAUCAGAAAGCAACGGCUAACUACGUG